This 1437-nucleotide long non-coding RNA is filed under the name Triticum aestivum (bread wheat). RNAcentral describes it as "long non-coding RNA (TAES_LNC002449)". The record is from RNAcentral. Lineage: Eukaryota; Viridiplantae; Streptophyta; Magnoliopsida; Poales; Poaceae.
UUUAGACUUAUAAAAGUAAUCAAUGUGAGUUCAACUAGACAUAGUAGUGCACUCCACAAACUCCCUUACGCAGCUGACCAUACAACACUACUAGUCUGCUACUAUGGUCAGGUAUGUGAGAUAGAAUCUACAAAUAGAUUAGAAUUGCAAAGAGAAAGAGACAGAGAGAGUACACCCAGGGGGAGAAUGCUGCUUGCCGGCACGACCCCAAUGACACCAACUGAUGUUCUAGCAUUUGUUUUUCACCAACAAACUUCAGAAUAUAUGCUGCCAGAUGUACCCAGCAACACUCGUUUCAGACUUCAGUUUUCACCAUCGCCUACUGCCACACUGGAGCUGCUAUUGUAAAUGAACUGGCAUGAGAAAAUUACUCGACAUGCAUGGAUGUUCUACAGCCACGCGGUCAUGAACAACAUAAGCUUCAGUGACAAAUGAACUUCAACCAGGGGCGAAGCUGAACUUUUUGAAUCUGACGCUGUAAAAAAUAAGUAAGCAUCAAACUUUUUUUUAUCUCUCUAUCGUCCGGUGCAGUAGAGGUAGGAACCAGCAAGCAGAGAUAGCAGUAAAAGAGUGGACCGUGAUAUGUCACCUGAAUAUAUAUAUACCUCACGCCAGUGACGAGGUGUGGACAAAGGUCGCUGGAAGGAAUUGACACGAGCAUCUCCAGCGGUUCUACUCCCCCUGCACUGAAGUUCAAUCACACCAUGGGGAGUGAGCCUGCCGCUGGAGCAUCUGCCACCAACAACAUGGUCGGGGCUUCAUCGGAAGCCGAAGCCCGGGGUGGGUAGGGGCGAGCCAUCGGAGCAGGUGGACGUGAAGGAAGAGGGGUGCCUGACACCGGCGCUGGAUCUGACAUGUUGUUGGGGAGGGGUUGCUGGUGGCGCCGCCCGGUGGGAUUGGGGCAGGAGGGUCACGGCGGCAUCCGUGCGCAGGUGGUGGCUCGGAGCUUGGCCUGCUCUGGUGGGUGGAGGCAGGGUAGGGGCACAGGGCGCAGCGGAAUCAAACUCACGCGGCUGGCCAUGUCGAACUUCACAAACGCCUACCAGCGCAGAGAAGGGGACGGGAGAGAGGAGGCCAUCGCGGAUGCGCUGUUCUCGGGGGAUGGAGGAGGAACGAUAGGGAGGAGGCCGUUUUCUGCGUCGCGCUUGGGGACGGAGGCUCACCGGAGCAGCACCGCCGUGAGAAAUCGCCGGAUCCCGCAGAUCUGAGCGCUGGAGGCAGGGGCCGUGGCGCGCUGGAGGAGGAGGGGGUGGCCUCGUGCUGGAUGAUGCGGGGGCAGCGGCGCACCAGAGGAGGAGGGGGUGGCGGCACGCCGGGGGAGGCAGGGGCGGCGGCGCACGGGGUGGGGCGGCGGCGGCGACCUCCUGGUGGAAACGCGUGGGUCGGGUGGGUGGGCUACAAGGUUGGAGACGCGGGGGUGGGUAGUUUUUCUUUUUC